Rattus norvegicus (Norway rat) is the source of this 2392-nucleotide non-coding RNA. The record is from RefSeq and is a predicted model, not a curated record. NCBI's taxonomy places the organism in Eukaryota, Metazoa, Chordata, Mammalia, Rodentia, Muridae.
AGAGAGAGAGAGAGAGAGAGAGAGAGGGAGAGAGAGGCGUUCCAGAGGUUACAAAUUGCUGAUGUGGACCCUCAGGCUGGGAUGUGGUGUUCCAGAGCCUUGCUUCCUGCCCUGCAUUGAGUCUCUUCUCUUUCAACACAGAAUCUGAACCAGGUCUUUGUAUAUCUAUGAGGCAGGAACCUACCAGUGAGCUCCACCCCCGGCCUCCUCCUAUUUCAUAAAGAUGUAUUUGUUCUCUGUCCUGCCCUCUUGGGGCCAGCUGUAUGUCAUUAGUCCUUGGAAGCAGUUCCAUAAACUAAUUUGUAAUUGGGUGUUUAUGGAUAAGCCUAGCGUAGUAAAUUGCUUCAAUCAAGGUGUAUCUGUCAAAGUCCCAAGAUGAAACAGGUGGCACACUCAAUUAGUAGGACUCAAGGGAGGGCCGGAGUAACACAGUUUCACGAGAGUGUGCACUGCUGUUCAAGGGAACAGAAAAGCUUUGACUCCUGGGAGCUGGGAAAAAGGAGGGAGCCGUGGAGGGGGCACCCACCAGCCCUAGUAGAGCUUUCCAGGAUGAAGUUGGGCAAUACCUCCAUCCAGCCUGACCUCUUCCAGUCUCCACGGGACAUUUCUCUGGUCGGACUCUAGUGGCUUGCGUUGACCUACUCUCUACAGGUCAAUGACUCUGAAGAGCAAGAUGAUUAGAGAGCAGCUCCUACACAAAUACAAGAGACACACAUCCAUGCUGUACUAGUUAGGUUUCUAUUGCUGUGAUAAAUGUCAUAAUCAGGACUGGAGAGAUGGCUCAGCGGUUAAGAGCACUGACUGCUCUUCCAGAGGUCCUGAGUUCAAAUCCCAGCAACCACAUGGUGGCUAUAACCAUCUGUGAUAGGAUCUGAUGCCCUCUUCUGAUCUGUCUGAAGACAGUUGCAGUGUACUCCUAUAAUAAAUAAAUAAAUCUUUUUAAAAAUGUCAUAAUCAAAAAGCAACAUGAGAGAAGAGGUUCACACUUCUACAUCACGACAAAAACAAGACUCAAGGCAGGAAUGUGGAGGUAGGAACUGAAGUAGAGGCCGUGGAGGAAUGAUGUUUACUGGCUUGCUCAGCCUGCUUUCUAAAAGCACCUAGGACCUGCACCUGGGUCCUUCCACAUCAAUCAUAAUCAAGAAAACGCCCCAGGUUUGUAUACAGACUGAUAUGAUGGGGAGGCAUUUUCUCAAGCAAGGUUCCUAUCAAUCCCAAAAAUGGGAGGAGAAAGACUACUGACACCAAUCAGGAUGACCAAAUUAACCAAAGCAAGCAACCGAAUAAAGGUUACAGGUGAGGCAUAGCCCAGUCCUUGAGAAACAGAGGUUGGCAAACAGGAACCUGGUUUGUCUUUGCUGUAAGAUGGCCUUGUGCCUGAGAUGGAGGCCGACUCCAGCUCUUAGUUCCCUCUUCCCAGAUGACGCCAUCUGAGAACUGGGGCAGGGAGACCAGAGCUUUGUCUCCCUGCGGUUCCCGGGGAGAGCUUGAGGUAAUUCCAAGAAAUGCUUCUUCCAUGUAAAUGAUGGUAGCUUCCUUAUCCCCUCCUCAUCCCUCCUCCUCCCAUUUCUUCUUCCUCUUCCUCCUUUUCUGCUGACCUACAUCCCUAGCCUGGCUUAAUAGCUUCCUAACUCUGGUCCCUGUCUUAGUCUUUCACUUUCUUCUGCACUGGUAGAAAAGUGCUUUUUUGGAAGCUUGAGUCUGACCCUUUUGUUUGCCUCUUUGCUUAAAAUCCCCCAACUCUGUGAAGCAUCUCCUCGUUCUGUCUCAGUCACAAAGCCACCCUAAGCUUGGUAUUAAAACAAGACGAGAGGGCUUUGAGCACUUAUCCAACUGUGCUGGGCAGUUUUAAGUCAGCUUGAGACAAGCAAGGGUCACCUGGAAGAGGGAACUUUGAGAAAACGUCUCCUGUGGGCUCAGCCUGUGAGCAGUCUCAAGGAGCCCAAGCUAAUCUCAAACUCACUAUGUAACCGAGGGUAACUUUGAACUCCCAAUCCUUGUGCCUCCAUCUCACAAGUGCUGGCAUUACAGCCUGUGCCACAGUACAAAUUACGGGGCACUGUCAGCACUUCUUUGAAUUGCAGAAGAAAGUAUGUCAAACGGUGCCUGUGUCUUUUUCCUUCUCCUUGGGCAGUGGAGAAUCUGAUGACGCCAGUAAGACGCAUGCUUCACAGAGUGAGGCACAUAUCCUGUUGCCUUCCAGGAACUUGCUGGCUUGCCGCCCUACGCAUACAUUUACAGAAGCCAUCUGCAGAGCUAAGCGUCUUCCAUUUUAAAAGCGUAAAGUGUUCUAGAGACACCGGCUUAUAUUCCACAGUGAACAGCAAUAUGUCUUCUAUGUCAAAUAAAAGGCCAUCUGUGUUCUUGGAAAAAUCUUUUUUUUUCCUUUAUA